RNAcentral lists this ribosomal RNA (468 nucleotides) under uncultured bacterium. RNAcentral's name for it is "partial 16S ribosomal RNA". It matches the Rfam family "Bacterial small subunit ribosomal RNA", at positions 28 to 507 of the family's 1533-position model. The record is from RNAcentral.
GACGAACGCUGGCGGCGUGCUUAACACAUGCAAGUCGAACGGAAAGGCCCUGCUUUUGUGGGGUGCUCGAGUGGCGAACGGGUGAGUAACACGUGAGUAACCUGCCCUUGACUUUGGGAUAACUUCAGGAAACUGGGGCUAAUACCGGAUAGGAGCUCCUGCUGCAUGGUGGGGGUUGGAAAGUUUCGGCGGUUUGGGAUGGACGCGCGGCUUAUCAGCUUGUUGGUGGGGUAGUGGCUUACCAAGGCUUUGACGGGUAGCCGGCCCGAGAGGGUGACCGGCCACAUGGGGACUGAGAGACGGCCCAGACUCCUACGGGGGGCAGAAGGGGGGAAUAUUGCACAAUGGGCCGAAGCCUGGUGCAGCAACGCCGCGGGCGGGAAGACGGCCUUUGGGGUGUAAACCGCUUUCGCCUGUGACGAAGCGUGAGUGACGGUAAUGGGUAAAGAAGCACCGGCUAACUACGUG